RNAcentral lists this ribosomal RNA (499 nucleotides) under uncultured bacterium. Its description in RNAcentral is "partial 16S ribosomal RNA". It matches the Rfam family "Bacterial small subunit ribosomal RNA", at positions 28 to 507 of the family's 1533-position model. The record is from RNAcentral.
GACGAACGCUGGCGGCGUGCCUAAUACAUGCAAGUCGAGCGGACUGAAUGGGAGCUUGCUCUUGUUCGGUCAGCGGCGGACGGGUGAGUAACACGUGGGCAACCUGCCCGCAAGACCGGGAUAACUCCGGGAAACCGGAGCUAAUACCGGAUAACACCGAAGACCGCAUGGUCUUUGGUUGAAAGGCGGCGCAAGCUGCCACUUGCGGAUGGGCCCGCGGCGCAUUAGCUAGUUGGUGAGGUAACGGCUCACCAAGGCGACGAUGCGUAGCCGGCCUGAGAGGGGGGCCGGCCACACUGGGACUGAGACACGGACCAGAGUCCUACGGGAGGCAGCAGUAGGGAAUCUUCCGCAAUGGGCGAAAGCCUGACGGAGCGGGGCCGCGUGAGCGAAGAAGGCCUUCGGGUCGUAAAGCUCUGUUGUGAGGGACGAAGGAGCGCCGUUUGAAGAAGGCGGCGCGGUGACGGUACCUCACGAGGAAGCCCCGGCUAACUACGUG